Molecule: non-coding RNA, 218 nt
Organism: Arachis ipaensis
Lineage: Eukaryota; Viridiplantae; Streptophyta; Magnoliopsida; Fabales; Fabaceae
Source: RefSeq, a predicted model, not a curated record
UCUUUUUUUUAUUAUGGGUUGCAAGACAUAGUUUGGCAUACUGAAGAAAAAAUUUAAGGAAUAAAAGGUGCUGUAGACAUGCAAUUAUCCCGGUUCACGGAAUUAUGAAUGAGGUAGAGUAACUUGUUAAAUUUGGAGAGUUUUGAAAUUAAAUUUGAGAGUAAAUUAAACUUUUGUAUAUAGUUCUUUCAUAUCUUAAUUUGGAUAUUUUUCACUCU